AUGAGCCAUACAAUGACGCUAUGGGAGAGAGUCAUUGAGCACCGCUUAAGAAGAAUGACAAGCGUGACCAAAAACCAGUUUGGUUUCAUGCCUGGGAGGUCGACCAUGGAAGCCAUUUUCUUGGUACGACAGCUUAUGGAGAGAUAUAGGGAGCAAAAGAAGGACUUGCAUAUGGUGUUCAUUGACUUGGAGAAGGCCUAUGAUAAGAUACCGCGGAAUGUCAUGUGGUGGCCCUUGGAGAAACACAAAGUCCCAGCAAAGUACAUUACCCUCAUCAAGGACAUGUACGAUAAUGUUGUGACAAGUGUUCGGACAAGUGAUGUCGACACUGAUGACUUCUCGAUUAAGAUAGGACUGCAUCAGGGGUCAGCUUUGAGCCCUUAUCUUUUUGCAUUGGUGAUGGAUGAGGUCACAAGGGAUAUACAAGGAGAUAUCCCAUGGUGUAUGCUCUUUGCGGAUGAUGUGGUGCUAGUUGACGAUAGUUGGGUGGGGGUAAAUAGGAAGUUAGAGUUAUGGAGAAAAACCUUGGAAUCGAAAGGGUUUAGGCUCAGUAGGACUAAAAUCGAGUACAUGAUGUGCGGUUUCAGUACUACUAGGUGUGAGGAGGAGGAGGUUAGCCUUGAUAGUUAG
Molecule: ribosomal RNA, 630 nt
Filed under: Triticum aestivum (bread wheat)
Lineage: Eukaryota; Viridiplantae; Streptophyta; Magnoliopsida; Poales; Poaceae
Description: partial small subunit ribosomal RNA
Source: RNAcentral